Molecule: ribosomal RNA, 2937 nt
Filed under: Candidatus Peribacteria bacterium
Lineage: Bacteria; Candidatus Peregrinibacteriota; Candidatus Peribacteria
Description: 23S ribosomal RNA
Rfam family: Bacterial large subunit ribosomal RNA
Source: RNAcentral
AGAAAGUCUAUUUAAGAGCCGAGGAUGGAUGCCUUGGGUAAAAGAGCCGAUGAAAGGCGUGAUUGGCUGCGAAAAGCCACGGUCAGGUGCCAGUAACCGUUUAGCCGUGGAUUCCUGAAUGGGGUAACCCAUCGACUAUAAGUCGAUACCCUGACAGAUGUCAGGGAUGGUAAGCCGGCGAAGUGAAAUAUCUCAGUAGCCGGAGGAAGAGAAAUCGUAAGAGAUUCCCGUAGUAGUGACGAACGAACUGGGAAGAGUCUAAACCUAUAUAAUGUAAGGUGCUGACCGUUGUUAUAUGGGGGUUGAGGGAUGUGCUGUGAUCUGUCAGUAAAGAUCAAAGGAGUAAGAAAUCAGUGUCUUAGCAGAAGACGUUGGGAAGCGUCGCCAUAGAGGGUUAUAGUCCCGUAAGCGAAAAUUCAUUGACUCCUUAGUAUAUUCCCGAGUAGGAUCGGACACGUGAAAUCCGGUUUGAAUCUGGGCAGACCACUGUCUAAGACUAAAUACUCUUUUACACCGAUAGCGCAUAGUACCGUGAGGGAAAGGUGAAAAGUACCCCUGGAAGGGGAGUGAAAUAGAUCCUGAAAUCCUCGGCUUACAAGGGAGCAGGAGCCUUCGGGUGACUGCGUACCUAUUGUCGAAUGGGCCAACGAGUUAUUGGCAGUAGCAAGGUUAAGACACUUCGUGUCGGAGCCGUAGCGAAAGCGAGUUCGAAUAGAGCGCGAGUUGCUGUCAAUAGACCCGAAACUAUAUGAGCUACCCAUGAGCAGGCUGAAGGUAUGAGAAAUCAUGCUGGAGGGCCGAACGGGUUGGAGUUACAAGUCCUUCCGAUGACUUGUGGGUAGGAGUGAAAAGCUAAUCGAAUAUAGUGAUAGCUGGUUCUCCUCGAAAUGUAUUUAGGUACAGCCUGUAAUAGUAACUACGAGGGUAGAGCUCUGAUAAGGCUAGGGGGUCCGAGAGGACUUACCAAACCUUCUCAAACUUCGAAUAUCGUAGACACUAAUUAUGGAGUGAGGCCGCGGGAGAUAAGUUCAGCGGCCAAAAGGGAAACAGCCCAGACUUCUGACUAAGGUCCCUAAAUUAUAGCUAAGUGGAAAAGGAUGUUCUCCUGCUUAGACAUUCAGGAGGUUUGCUUAGAAGCAGCAAUCCUUUAAAGAGUGCGUAACAGCUCACUGAACAAGUGGGAGAGUGCCAAAGAUGUAACGGGGCUAAGCUAUAUACCGAAGUCGAAGACUUCCGCUAUGCGGAAGUGGUAGAGGAGCGUUCUGUACGGGAUGAAGUCACAUCGUGAGGUGUGGUGGACGGUACAGAAGUGAUAAUGUUGGCAUGAGUAACGCCGCACGAUGAAAAUUCGUGCCGCCGGAAACCUAAGGAUUCCUACGCAACGUUCGUCGGCGUAGGGUUAGUCGGGACCUAAGGCUAUGCCGAAAGGCUAUGUCGAUGGAAAGCUGGUUAAUAUUCCAGCACCUAUGUGUACCAGUGAUGGGGCAACACAUCGGGAUGUGUGAGAGCUCACUAAGGAUGUGAGUUGAGAAAACGAAACUAUUCUGACCUAGUCAGAAGGCCAUUUGCAGGGAAAUCCGCUUGUGGUAUACGUUAAGUUGGAUCAAGAGUUUAUCUUCGGAUAGGUUAUUCUCAUAGUUCUGGUGUCUAGAAAAACCUCUAAACGUUACGGUAUAUGUAGCCCGUACCCAGAUCAAACACUUGUGGGUAAGUAGAGAAUACUAAGGCGAUCGAGACAACUAAGAAUAAGGAACUCGGCAAAUCAGCAGGCGUAACUUCGGGAUAAGCCUUCCCCACAGCAAUGUGGGGCGCAGCGAAUGUCGUAGGGGGGACUGUUUAUCAAAAACACAGCUCACUGCCAACUCGUAAGAGGAUGUAUAGUGGGUGAUGCCUGUCCAGUAUCAGAAUGUCAAAUCCGCUUGUGCAAGCUCGCGGACCAAGCACUGAUAAACGACGGCCGUAACUAUGACGGUCCUAAGGUAGCGAAAUUCCUUGUCGGGUAAGUUCCGACCCGCAUGAAUGGCAUAACCAUCUCUACACUGUCUUGUUCUUAGACUCGGUGAAAUUACAAUCCCGGUAAAAAUGCCGGGUAGAUACGGUUAGACGGAAAGACCCCGUGAAGCUUUACUGAAGAUUGGUAUUGUGUCGUGGCAUAUGUUGCUCAGUAUAAGUGGGAGACUUUGAGACGGCGCCUUUGGGUGUCGAGGAGUCAUCAGUGAGAUACCACUCAUUAUAUGUUGCGUCACUAACCCCAUAGAAAUGGGGGACAGUGCUAGUUGGUUAGUUUACCUGGGGCGGGUGCCUCCGAAAGAGUAACGGAGGCGUACAAAGGUUAGCUUACCACGGAUGGAAACCGUGGUGAAAGUAUAUUCGCAUAAGCUAGCUUAACUGUGAGACUAACAGGUCGAGCAGAAUGGAAACAUGGUGAAAGUGAUCCGGAUAUACCGCGUGGAAGGGUAUCCGCUCAACGGAUAAAAGCUACUCCGGGGAUAACAGGCUAAUGGGAUCCAAGAGUCCACAUCGACGAUCCCGUUUGGCACCUCGAUGUCGGCUCGUCGCAUCCUGGGGCUGUAGAAGGUCCCAAGGGUUGGGCUGUUCGCCCAUUAAAGCGGGACGCGAGCUGGGUUCAGAACGUCGUGAGACAGUUCGGCCCCUAUCUGCCGUAUCCGUAGGAAAUUUGAGAAGAUCUGCUCCUAGUACGAGAGGACCGGAGUGGACUAGCCUCUAGUGUUUCAGUUGUUCUGUCAAGGGCAUUGCUGGGUAGCUACGCUGGGAAAGGAUAACCACUGAAAGCAUCUAAGUGGGAAGCCAACUUCAAGAUUAGGUUGCCCAUCCUUCGGGAGUAAGGUCACUUGUAGACUACAAGUUUGAUAGGUGUCGUGUGGAAGCUCCGUAAGGAGUGAAGCAGAGACAUACUAAUAGACCGAGGGACUUUCU